CUGGUGUCUGCGGCUCUGAGGAACCCGGACUGUAAAAUACAGAGACUGGAGCUGCAAAGUGUCGGUCUCACAGAUUCUGGAGCCGUGGAUCUCGUCUCCGCUCUCAGUACAAACCACACGGUGACGUGGCUGCACCUGAGUCGGAAUAAACUGGGAGAUUCUGGAGUGAAACUGGUGUCUGUGGCUCUGAGGAACCCGGACUGUAAAAUACAGACACUGUGGUUGGACAGUGUCGGUCUCACAGAUUCUGUAGCCGAGGAUCUCGUCUCCGCUCUCAGUACAAACACCUCACUGACGGAGCUUUACCUGCCAGACAACUCCCUCACAGACCGAUGUGUCCCCGCUCUCCGCGAACUCAUACUGACCCUCCCGAGACUGAAGCGGAUCGGGCUGGGGCGGAAUAAGUUCGGUCCAACCGGGAAGAAGGAACUGAGGUCGCUGCAGGAACCCAGACCCGGAGUGACAGUGGACGUGUGAACAUCUCGUGGUGUAAACGUCACCGCCCUGGGGACUGGAAUAUUGUUGGCCGAUUCCCCGCACUCCCUCCCCUUUAAAUGGCCGCCCUCCCUCCCCUUUAUACCCCGACGCUUCCCGGGCGGUGACGUCAGAGGCGGCCCUGCCCGCUGUCACGUGACCUGGGUACUCAGCGCUGCUGAUGCUGAUGAUGAUGCCAGAUAUCCGGUGCUGCCUGCCUGCCAU
Molecule: long non-coding RNA, 699 nt
Organism: Amblyraja radiata (thorny skate)
Lineage: Eukaryota; Metazoa; Chordata; Chondrichthyes; Rajiformes; Rajidae
Exons: 4
Source: RefSeq, a predicted model, not a curated record